Molecule: ribosomal RNA, 214 nt
Filed under: uncultured eukaryote
Lineage: Eukaryota
Description: partial 18S ribosomal RNA
Rfam family: Eukaryotic small subunit ribosomal RNA
Source: RNAcentral
AUGCGCUCCGGUGCUUGCCGUAAAGUUUGGUGAAUCUGAGUAACCACAGCCGAACCGCACKAUCUUGCAUCGGCGGUCUGUCGRUCAAGCUAACUGCCUUAUCAGCUUGUCGUUAGUGUUAUAUGCCUAACGAGGCGUCUGACGGGUAACGAACGAUCGGGGUCUGACAUCGGAGAGGGAGCCUGAGAAACGGCUACCACAUCCAAGGAAGGCA